CAGGGAGACCUACUCACUGCAAAGACCCAAAAAACCCAAUCAAGGUCAGCAGUAGAGUCAUCCCAAGGUCGUUCGAGGAUAAAAGAAUUACUAAAGCUCUCAAACGAGGGGCAGGAUAAUCCUGCCCCGUCUAGGCUUGGGUUAUGUGGGCUAUUAGCUCAGGUGGUUAGAGCGCACCCCUGAUAAGGGUGAGGUCCCUGGUUCGAGUCCAGGAUGGCCCACCUUGUUCAAGUUUUGAAGUUUGAGUUCUUGGUUCUUAGUAAUUAAAAACUCAUCACUCAAAACUAUAUAAACGAGGGGGUAUAGCUCAGCUGGUAGAGCGCUGCCUUUGCAAGGCAGAUGUCAGCGGUUCGAGUCCGCUUACCUCCACCAAGCUACAGAAGGUAGAUAAAGCCAUUUGCAUGAGAAACGCAUCAUCACAUUGCUGAGCCUAGUUCCUGCUCAAGCCUUAUCCUUCACUUCUAUACACCUGAGUAAACCCAAAAGUUUAGACUUCAGCAACUUAUCUAGUUAACUCUAGAGAGCCUGCUGGAGGACUACUCCAGCUAGAACCUUGAAAACUGCAUAGCAAUGAGUCAAAUGCAACGCGUAGCGAUAGCGUGUUUUAUAGCCCAAGGGUUAUAGCACCAAGCAGCUACAUGAUUGCAGGUAGACACCAAUGUAAUUAGUGGCA
RNAcentral lists this transfer RNA (673 nucleotides) under cyanobacterium CBW1104. RNAcentral describes it as "partial 16S-23S ribosomal RNA intergenic spacer". The stretch from base 297 to 369 matches the Rfam family "tRNA". Lineage: Bacteria; Bacillati; Cyanobacteriota. The record is from RNAcentral.